This 243-nucleotide ribosomal RNA is filed under the name uncultured bacterium. RNAcentral's name for it is "partial 16S ribosomal RNA". It matches the Rfam family "Bacterial small subunit ribosomal RNA", at positions 32 to 254 of the family's 1533-position model. The record is from RNAcentral.
AAUCAACGCUGGCGGCGUGCCUAACACAUGCAAGUCGAGCGGGAAAGGGGGCUUCGGCCCCUGAGUAUAGCGGCGGACGGGUGAGUAACACGUGGGUAAUUUGCCCUUGGGUGUGGAAUAACUCAGGGAAACUUGAGCUAAUACCGCAUGACAUCCCCUUCACACACGAGUCGGGAUCAAAGCCGGGGACCCUUCGGGGCCUGGCGCCUGAGGAGAAGCCCGCGCCCGAUUAGCUAGUUGGGA